UCUCCGUAGGUGAACCUGCGGAGGGAUCAUUACCGAGUGCAAACUCAUAACCCCUUGUGCACCUAUAUCUGUUGUUUCGGCGGCCCACUCCCGCGCGUGCCCACCGGUAAUCUCAGUAUCUUUGUUUGAACCCGGCGAUACUUCUGAGUGUGCUUAGCGAACAGAUUAUACUAUUAACUACGGACCUCUUGGCUCUAGCAUACAUGAAGAACGCAGCAGAUUGGAAGAGCCCACGUAAGAACUUCCGUCAGCAGUCGUCAACUCGUGUGCCGCCUUGAA
This 279-nucleotide unclassified non-coding RNA is filed under the name plant metagenome. Its description in RNAcentral is "partial contains small subunit ribosomal RNA, internal transcribed spacer 1, and 5.8S ribosomal RNA". The record is from RNAcentral.